RNAcentral lists this ribosomal RNA (507 nucleotides) under uncultured bacterium. RNAcentral's name for it is "partial 16S ribosomal RNA". It matches the Rfam family "Bacterial small subunit ribosomal RNA", at positions 28 to 523 of the family's 1533-position model. The record is from RNAcentral.
GAUGAACGCUAGCUACAGGCUUAACACAUGCAAGUCGAGGGGAAACGACAUCGAAAGCUUGCUUUUGAUGGGCGUCGACCGGCGCACGGGUGAGUAACGCGUAUCCAACCUGCCCACCACUUGGGGAUAACCUUGCGAAAGUAAGACUAAUACCCACUGACGUCUCUAGAAGACAUCUGAAAGAGAUUAAAGAUUUAUCGGUGAUGGAUGGGGAUGCGUCUGAUUAGUUGGGUGGCGGGGUAACGGCCCACCAAGACGACGAUCAGUAGGGGUUCUGGAAGGAAGGUCCCCCAAAUUGGAACUGAGACACGGUCCAAACUCCUACGGGAGGCAGCAGGGAGGAAUAUUGGUCAAUGGACGAGAGUCUGAACCAGCCAAGUAGCGUGGAGGAUGGCGGCCCUAUGGGUUGUAAACUUCUUUUAUAAGGGAAUAAAGUGAGUCUCGUGAGACUUUUGCAUGUACCUUAUGAAUAAGGACCGGCUAAUUCCGUGCCAGCAGCCGCCGUAA